UGGGAUGGUUGGAUUGCUGCUUUCGGAAGCUAAAAACGAUUUAGCCUCUCUCUCGCUCUCUUCUUCAACGCACCCGGCCCGUCGACGGCUCCUUCCCCGUUGCCGCCGCCGCCUCCGCAUCUCCUCCCUCUGCCCUCUCCCUCUCGCUCGUCGCUCGUCGUACCGCCAGUCGCGGGCCCUUUGGCCAGCACGGGCGGCGGCGCCGGCACCACGCCGCCGGCCAGCGUGGCCGCGGUCAGGCGAGGCGCCGCGCCGGCUGUUCAUCUCCCGCUCGCCCUCCUCCUUCAAGACCCCGGCCGACCUCCCCAAACCCUAGCCCCUUUCGUUUUUUCCCUUCUCCUCCAUUGCCGCCGCCACUGCCUCCUUCCCCGAUGCCGGCCGCCGUCGAAAUUCGUCAUCUCCGGGCUCCUGGCAACCACCCGUUCGAGCCGUAGGUGACCCUCGCCGCCCCACCGUCUUCCUCGCGCGCGCGCCGGCCCUGACCCCACUUUCCUCCCUCGCCGCCGCCGUGGCCGCGGUCAGGGGUCCGCCUAACCCCUCGUUCUCCCCAGCCGCCGCCAGCUGCCCGCAGAGCUCGCCGGCGCUCGUGGCGGCGGCCAAGAAGGUGCGGGAGACCGAGCAGGACGCCGUGGCGGCGAGGGUGGGGACCGAGGUGGCCGCCGGGAUCGGCGAACAGGCGGGGAUCUCCCGCCGUCAUCCCGGAUGGUUCUGAUAUCAGCCCCAUGUGGUCCGGUGAGGCGCCACCUUUGAAGGUGGAAAAGAUGCUGUUCUAAGGGAAGUUGGACUACCAAAAUGUCAUGGUUUUCCAGAUAAUUCUUAUUAUUGUUUUACUUCCACCCGAGCCGCCUGCAAUUCGUCAUUACUCGUCAGCCAUUGCUCAUAAUGGGAGAUGAAUCUGUUUCUCUAUUGUAGUCCUCUCCGUUCGGCAUGGUGCUCCUGCUGGAUGGAGUAAUUCAGGUUACUCAGAGGGAUGAGUGCGCAUACCAAGUGAUGAUUACCCACCUCCCCCUUUUCUCCAUCAAAGAUCCCAACAAGUUACUGGAGGAGGAGAUGGUGGUGUUUCACGACGUUUCCUCUGUGGAACAGAUUGACAUUUGUGAAAUUGACAAGAUGGUGGUAGAUUUUGUGAAUUCAUACACAAAGUAGGCUUGGAAGGGACCAACUACUCCAAGGAAGAGACGAACUUAAAGGGUUUCAAGGAAUGCUUGUUCUUAUACCGCAGUUUCUUAUUGGAACUGGAUAUUACUCUUUUGUAUUUCAGAGCACAAUUGUUUUUGUUGAAGUGUAGGGAAUCCUAUUCUUCUUACAUGAUUUCAGAAAGUAUAUUUGGAUAAUGAUAUUAAGAAAGGCCAGCGAAUUUGGUAGAAAUACAUUUCAGUACAGUCCUUCAUCACUGUUCACUUUAUGGUGCAAAAAAUAGUUUGCGCUUCACGAUGUAAUGUUGAGUAGUAUGACUGUUGGUUGGUUCGGUUAUGAAUCCUAUAAUAUAUUUUCUUUGAAUA
RNA transcript from Panicum virgatum (switchgrass), 1502 nucleotides. It is a transcript of the gene named spermidine synthase 1-like, with no coding region annotated. The record is from RefSeq and is a predicted model, not a curated record. The transcript is spliced from 5 exons. Lineage: Eukaryota; Viridiplantae; Streptophyta; Magnoliopsida; Poales; Poaceae.